RNAcentral lists this ribosomal RNA (428 nucleotides) under uncultured bacterium. RNAcentral's name for it is "partial 16S ribosomal RNA". It matches the Rfam family "Bacterial small subunit ribosomal RNA", at positions 354 to 796 of the family's 1533-position model. The record is from RNAcentral.
GUGGGGAAUAUUGGGCAAUGGGCGCAAGCCUGACCCAGCAACGCCGCGUGAGGGAAGAAGGCUUUCGGGUUGUAAACCUCUGUCCUUGGUGACGAAAAAAAUGACGGUAGCCAAGGAGGAAGCCCCGGCUAACUACGUGCCAGCAGCCGCGGUAAUACGUAGGGGGCGAGCGUUGUCCGGAAUUACUGGGCGUAAAGGGUGCGUAGGUGGCCUUUUAAGUUGGAUGUGAAAUACCCGGGCUUAACUUGGGGGGUGCAUCCAAAACUGGGAGGCUAGAGUGCAGGAGAGGAAAGCGGAAUUCCUAGUGUAGCGGUGAAAUGCGUAGAUAUUAGGAGGAACACCAGUGGCGAAGGCGGCUUUCUGGACUGUAACUGACACUGAGGCACGAAAGCGUGGGGAGCAAACAGGAUUAGAAACCCUUGUAGUCC